CCCUUCAAUUUUCCCCCCUUUCCCUUUCUUUUUCUCUCUCUCUUUUCUCCCCUUUUUCCUCCUCACGUCACUUCCUGCCCCCCACUUUUUUCUUUUCCCCUCUCUCUCUCUCUCCUCUUUCCUCCUCUCUCAGCCGAACCCUCCCACCUCUUCUUCUUCUUCUUCUUCUUCUUCUUCUUCUUCUUCCUUCCUCUCGCCGGUUGCUGCUUCACCUGCCACCACACCGCCGCCCCCACGCCCUACUCACCACCACCUCUUGGCCACC
RNAcentral lists this long non-coding RNA (265 nucleotides) under Eucalyptus grandis. Its description in RNAcentral is "long non-coding RNA (EGRA_LNC007812)". The record is from RNAcentral. Lineage: Eukaryota; Viridiplantae; Streptophyta; Magnoliopsida; Myrtales; Myrtaceae.